RNAcentral lists this long non-coding RNA (1715 nucleotides) under Physcomitrium patens. Its description in RNAcentral is "long non-coding RNA (PPAT_LNC007763)". The record is from RNAcentral. Lineage: Eukaryota; Viridiplantae; Streptophyta; Bryopsida; Funariales; Funariaceae.
AACCUGCUCCUCUGACUGUACAUUUAGUUUCGCGAUUCUUCAAGCAUAAAUUUCCGCAGCAACUGUGUUGUUUGUUUCAAGCUCAGAUUCUUCUUUCAACUCAAACUCCUCUUGACUAGGUCUGCUCUUCAAUUCCAUGGCCCAUCUAGAUGCCCCGAUUGAUCAGGUUGCAAACAAUCAUUCAACCUCUGCAUUUGUUCCGCAAUUUUGCGAGGACAAACCUAUCGGCUGGAUCGGGUAAUGUGUGAGGGAAUCAGUCACCUAGUAUCAUGUGUUCAGUCGGUCCGUCUUUGAGUUUUUUUCAGUGUUCUUUCUGUUUUGUUUUAUUAGCAUUAAGCCCAAUGGACAAGUUCAAAGAGUUAUAAAUAAGCACUUCUUAUUACCUGUUCAAAACUGAAUGAUUAAAUUCCCAGGUACUCAUGGUAUCCGUUGAUGUUGCGGAGAGCAUGCAAUAAGUUCUGCAGACCCGGAACUAUUGAAUAAAAUAAGUGGGGUAAAAUAGCUUGCUUGGAUCUUGAAGAUGCCUAAAGCGCAAAUGUGAAUCUCGUGCUUCUCCGACAAUCAUCUGCAAUGUGGGCGUUACUCUAGCUUCCUCUUCACAUAAAAAGAAAUAAGCACUAUGCUGAGUAGGUCGAAGACAAUUCUGAUUCUCUUCAAGUUGGAAUUGAACAUCAAAUGAAUAUGGUGCGGAAUCAUUGUUAAUUUAUAAAACUUUCAACACUAGCUGGAAAACUCUUCGCUAAAUUCCAAAAGUCGUCUGUGCUUUUCAGGACAGAAGCCUGUUGCCUUAACUUCCUUCACUAAACCAAUCGUGAACUACCCUCGGUUAGAAAUCCCAAAAACUGCAGAGGGAUACAUCUACACAAACGCGCAUAGUUUAUGAUUUACUCAAGCGUGAGCAUGAAGUGACUAAGGCUUUUAUCUCUUCAGGAUUGGAAUGAAAUAAUUCAUAUGGUUACCUGUCCCUUCAGGUACUUGACCUGAAAGGCAUAGUUAUUUGUCUAAGACGCAGCAGAGGCAAAACAUUUCUUCCUGCCUGUUACGCCAUCACGUGACAAUCGACUUGCUCAUCGGUAACACCCAAAUCAUUUCCCAGUAAUUUCAUGUGAGUUACUCCUGUCAAAUGAGAAAAUGGUGUUACUCAGUGGUAGACUUUGGUGAAGAUUCUACACCUUUUUCAUUAGGUGCAGUGGUACGCAACAAUGUUUUUAAAUCAGUCCGGCUGUAGAACAGGAAACAUUCGCUUCCUGUCAGUCGUUACAUGCUUUUAGGCAAUCAUUACAUGGCGCAAGUGUAUUUCCUUACGACAAUUUUAGAUAGGACACUGGACUGAAAGAAAUUAAAAUGUAUUUAUCAUCUAAAAAUUGUGCUUUACAGAGGCGUUUUCCGGUCAUUGCAAAGAAUUUUCUAUCGUACGGUUGAACCACAUGUUGAUCAUGCGUAGUACCUCUUAAACUUCUUUAAAACGAGUAACUAACCUAUGCAGUUGAAGAACAGAAUGUGCGUACAAAACAACCAAAUAGUAUACUACCAAUGUACUUGUACGCUGCAUAACACGUUCACCUGCAUGAAGAGUGAAAUCUACGCAGCGAAAUCGAUCCAACAAAUAAAUCUACCAUUUUACUUCCUUUGAAUGAACUGUAGACACCUGAUAAUAUCUGCUCCUAACAAACCAAUUAACAAUAUUUAUGCUGCCCAAUUAAGCCCAAUGUCCA